Molecule: long non-coding RNA, 1042 nt
Filed under: Volvox carteri
Lineage: Eukaryota; Viridiplantae; Chlorophyta; Chlorophyceae; Chlamydomonadales; Volvocaceae
Description: long non-coding RNA (VCAR_LNC003491)
Source: RNAcentral
GGCUCAGGAGCGUGGGGAGCUGCUACAGCUGCAAGAUGACGCGCAGUACGCUUUAGAUGGGUUAGCUAGUGCUGAGAAAGCUGCAGCAGCGGCAGCAGCAACCAGUGGUGGUGGCAGCGGCGGCGGCUUGGGCGCGUGUAUUGGGGCGGUGCGCGAGUCGGCUGCUACGUUGGCGGUAAUAUUAGCUACGCGACGUGGCCGGACGGCACUCAGGUGUGGGCCCUCUGCGCCGCAGCAGGAGGGGAAAGGGGGGGAGAAGGGGGGGAGGAGGGGGAGGGGAAAGGGUAGAGAGAGGGGAAGGAGGAGAGAGGGGAAGGAGGAGAGAGAGGCGAGGGAGGAAAGAGGGGAAGGAGGAGGGAGAGGCGGGGGAGGAGGGAGAGGAGAGUGACGUCCUGUCAGGGUCUCUCCAGGGCAUCAUUCAGCCCCAACCCCAUCCGCAUGAAUCCACGUCGGCAGUUGUUUCAGUUGUUUUUUUAGCUUUUGUUGCAUGACAUCUCCCCCUCGCUCUGCCCCGCCAUGUUUUCCCUCCUUCCCCAGCCAGCCCGUCAACCUGGCGAUGCAGGCGCUGACGUCACUUGCGCGUCUGUCUGUCGUACCGCAAGACCCAGCUGCAGCGCUGGCAGCGGCCAUCAUCCUGCUGUCGCUCGUCCAAGAGGACGCACUGCCCGCGUACGGCGCAUCGUACGCUGCGGCCGUACUGAUACGGCACAUUUUGCGCCAGGUAAGGGGGAACAAAUGAACAGCUGGGUGAAUUAGCAUGUUUGCUAUACUGUACAAGACUGCAUUUGUUUUUUGCCGUGCACGUGUCUGUGUUAAUGUUCAUAAAACCCUAAAGCGCCAUGGCAACACAACGUUAUGACUUGUGCUACUGCUGAAACGGGCAGGCAUUACAAGAUCCGCCGCCAGUGCUACAGCCCCGUAUGCAAGAUGCCGCUGCCGCUGCCGGGCUCACUCCCCCGCUGGCGGCGCCGCUGCCGCUGUGCACCGUCGGCGGCGACGGCGGUACCGCAGCGUCCUCCGCCUGGUCCCUGCUCCGAGACGC